GCGAAUGUAGCUCAGUUGGUUAGAGCGCUGGUUUGUGGUACCAGAUGUCGUGAGUUCGAAUCUCAUCAUUCGCCCCA
Molecule: transfer RNA, 77 nt
Filed under: Pseudomonadota bacterium
Lineage: Bacteria; Pseudomonadati; Pseudomonadota
Description: Proteobacteria bacterium (human gut metagenome) tRNA-His
Rfam family: tRNA
About the family: Transfer RNA (tRNA) molecules are approximately 80 nucleotides in length.
Source: RNAcentral